GGAACACUAGAGCAUCACCUGAGGGACCACAGUGGUCCCAAAAUUAGACCAUCUUGAUGGCGAAGCUGGUAUAUGUAGGGCAGGUGGGAGCCAGGAAGUCCAACAGUGGUCCCUCAUUAUCCUGUGGUUCUUCCAAAAGGAUCAUGGACGUGCGAGGGACAUGGGCUGUGACACUGUACAACAUGUUCACGUGACGCUUGCUUUAGAGGCAGCAAUCAAGCUGCCACAAGUCAAUUACGGCCUGCAUGCAUGGCACCGUGAAUAGGACACGGGCCGUCCGUGUC
This 284-nucleotide long non-coding RNA is filed under the name Elaeis guineensis (African oil palm). Its description in RNAcentral is "long non-coding RNA (EGUI_LNC025779)". The record is from RNAcentral. Lineage: Eukaryota; Viridiplantae; Streptophyta; Magnoliopsida; Arecales; Arecaceae.